Molecule: long non-coding RNA, 355 nt
Organism: Rhineura floridana
Lineage: Eukaryota; Metazoa; Chordata; Lepidosauria; Squamata; Rhineuridae
Exons: 3
Source: RefSeq, a predicted model, not a curated record
UCUAACCCCUUGCAGCAUUUUAUGAUUAGAACAAAACUUAGCUUUCAUCAUUAAGAUAUCUUGGUUGUUCACAAAAGACAAAAUGCUCUUUUAAGUAACUCAAGAAUUUCAAUUUCCAUUGGACUCAGGUCCAUAACUAAAGUGCAGUGGAUGGGGGCAGGGGAGCAAGACAAGGAAUGGGAUCCGUUGACCGGUGCCAGUUUGAAACCAUUCCGUUGACCUAACAGGUCGUCUCCUACCUACCCACAGAGCACAAGGGAACAGAGAUGCUGCACAGAAGCCCAGUUCAAGCCACAUGAUUUUCAUCCACAAAUCAGAGGAGCAGAAGACUUCCCUUGCUUCCCCCCCCCCCCAG